AGUGAACGCUGGCGGUAGGCCUAACACAUGCAAGUCGAACGGCAGCACAGUAAGAGCUUGCUCUUACGGGUGGCGAGUGGCGGACGGGUGAGGAAUACAUCGGAAUCUACUUUUUCGUGGGGGAUAACGUAGGGAAACUUACGCUAAUACCGCAUACGACCUACGGGUGAAAGCAGGGGAUCUUCGGACCUUGCGCGAUUGAAUGAGCCGAUGUCGGAUUAGCUAGUUGGCGGGGUAAAGGCCCACCAAGGCGACGAUCCGUAGCUGGUCUGAGAGGAUGAUCAGCCACACUGGAACUGAGACACGGUCCAGACUCCUACGGGAGGCAGCAGUGGGGAAUAUUGCACAAUGGGCGCAAGCCUGACGCAGCCAUACCGCGUGAGUGAUGAAGGCCUUCGGGUUGUAAAGCCCUUUUGUUGGGAAAGAAAAGAAGUAGGUGAAUCUCUCGAUGUUCUGACGGUACCUAAAGAAUAAGCACCGGCUAACUUCGUG
This 492-nucleotide ribosomal RNA is filed under the name uncultured bacterium. RNAcentral's name for it is "partial 16S ribosomal RNA". It matches the Rfam family "Bacterial small subunit ribosomal RNA", at positions 29 to 507 of the family's 1533-position model. The record is from RNAcentral.